Long non-coding RNA from Manis pentadactyla (Chinese pangolin), 809 nucleotides. RefSeq lists it as uncharacterized. NCBI's taxonomy places the organism in Eukaryota, Metazoa, Chordata, Mammalia, Pholidota, Manidae. The transcript has 3 exons. The record is from RefSeq and is a predicted model, not a curated record.
GCCCCCAACUCCCGGCGGGAGGAGAGGAAUCAGAGCAGGGAGGGAGAGGGAGCCCAGGACUGCUGAACACCCAGCCCCAGCCAUCCGGACCAGAGCGCAGACACAGUGUGUGCGUGGGGUCCUGGAUAGUAGGGAAACAGGGCAGCAAGACCGGUGAGCGGGUGCCUGAGGCUGGCGCAGGAGAACAAAGAAACGCGAGCAGUCAUUUUUUUUUCUUUUUUCCUCUUUUUUUUGGCGAGUGCUUUUUGGAAGUCUUAAAGGGACAGGGACCCCAAUACUAGGGAAGCAGGGCAGCAAGACUGGUGAGCGGGUGCCUGAGGCCAGCACCUGAGGACAAAGAAAAGUAUCAAGCUCUGCCCUGUCAGAUGAUUCGGAGGGUGAUUUGCCUCAAGUGGAACACUAGCACUGAGAGUCAUUUUGGUUCUGAACUGGAUGCUGCUCUAACACUUGAGAUGAUAUCCUCUUGCGAAAAAAGUGCAAAUAUCCGAGGAGAGAUUCGUGGUUUUGAUCAUUUACUUCUGAGCUACCUACAUUUCUUGCAGAAGAAGGAAAGACAAACUUUUAAAUGUUUCAAUGGAAGAUGCAAUGUGCCCCUCUGAUGCUAUUUCAAGAUAUAGCCAAUGAAAGAAUAGUGAUAUGGUUCUUGUUGUAUGAAUGUGUAUUUACUAUUAGUAGAUUGUGUAUUUAAAGUUCCCCAGAUUAGAAGUGAGUAAAAAAAAAAAAAAGGAGGAAGAGAGAAACAUUAUAAAAGGCCAUGUUAUUUUUGUAUGUUCAACUUUGUAUGUUAUGUGAAUAAAUGUGUACGUUUA